RNAcentral lists this ribosomal RNA (262 nucleotides) under uncultured bacterium. RNAcentral describes it as "partial 16S ribosomal RNA". It matches the Rfam family "Bacterial small subunit ribosomal RNA", at positions 92 to 353 of the family's 1533-position model. The record is from RNAcentral.
CGACCGGCGCACGGGUGAGUAACACGUAUCCAACCUGCCGAUAACUCGGGGAUAGCCUUUCGAAAGAAAGAUUAAUACCCGAUGGCAUAGUUCUUCCGCAUGGUAGAACUAUUAAAGAAUUUCGGUCAUCGAUGGGGAUGCGUUCCAUUAGGUUAUUGGCGGGGUAACGGCCCACCAAGCCUUCGAUGGAUAGGGGUUCUGAGAGGAAGGUCCCCCACAUUGGAACUGAGACACGGUCCAGACUCCUACGGGAGGCAGCAUG